RNAcentral lists this long non-coding RNA (1373 nucleotides) under Equus caballus (horse). RNAcentral describes it as "lncRNA (ENSECAG00000056002.1)". Lineage: Eukaryota; Metazoa; Chordata; Mammalia; Perissodactyla; Equidae. The record is from RNAcentral.
GGGGACGACCAUGCACACAGCGUGCUCCCCUUCCCGGGGGCCAGCACCGCAUUCCUGCUCUUGCCCUCGCAGUGGCCCUGGGGGACAGCCUGAUGGUGUCCCCACCUGAGCUCAGCGACACCAAGCAGUUUGCUGAAAGAUGCAGCGCCAACUCUGCCUUCAGAGCAGCAGGGACUUUUCACAACUCCGGAAAAGGGUUCCCAGCGACUCCAAGGCUGGAAGAUGAUGACUCCGUUCCCAGCCCCGCAGCCCACCAGCGUGGCAGUGGACAAGCCACCCAAGACCAUAGACGAGAAAGGCCACAGACCAUCGGGAAUGUCUCUUCGGCUCAAGAUAAUUUUCAGCAAAAUGGUCAGAAUACAAAGGGUCUGGGUAUCUUCCUGGUUGAUUGUGGAAGAUCAGCCUGGUCACAUGGGCGGCAGCCGAGCGAGGGACAGAGUCUGAGACACUCACCCCACGACGUGGAAGACACCUGGUGACCGUCUGGCAGAAGAAUAAGUCCACAAGAAAGGCCCGAAGUUACGUAAACUUCAGGCCUCACAAAAUCUGGUCAGUUCAUGCAUGUCCCCUAUGGGCAGAAGAACUAAAAGUUAAAUAGCCCUGAGAAAGCCCACAGAAAAUUAGUCCUUCUGAGGAUCUGUGCCUCUACACCCCAAGUCUGCUCAGCCAUCUCCACUCCUGCGUAGGGUUAGGCUGGGCUGGUGUUGUUAAUCAAGCAUAACACAAAAAUGAGAACUUAAGCACAUUUUUGUUAGUCAUUUAAUGUGUUUUGGAUUCUAACUUUUGAGGUGACAAAUAGAAAUGGCAAGCAAUAGGAUAUAUUGGAGUAUAUGAGGAAGCCAUUUGGUGUAAGCCUAAUUUGGCCUGACCUUGUUUUUCCAAAAGGGCCUGAUCAUGGCUGUUGAGCACGUGUUGCAUAUCUGCUUUAAACAUUUCCUAUGGCAAGAACAAAGGCCCUUGAGACAAAGGUGCAACUUCUCUCCCCCUCCCAACUUUGGCAUUUCCUUAAAGAUUAAGCGUCUUUCCUUAGGCUAGGAACUGAUUGCUGCACUCACCUGUGACCACCCAGCUCAAGACAAUAGACUGCCAUCCUGCUGUUUCCAUCAAUCGCUGUGCCGACAGAGCAGUCUCAUGACUAUUGUAAAAGGGACAUUUCAAUACUAUGUAAAGCAUCCUGUUUGGGGGUAUAGAACCACUCUGUGCACCUCACUUCUUUGGUGCCCUGUCUUCCUUCGGGAAGAAAGGCCCCAGGCCAUGGUCCUCACAUUUUAGCUCAGAAUAAACUCACCCAAAUUUUCAUUUAUAGAUUGGUUAUGGAUUAUUUUUGUCAACAGAGGUUAUCAAAAUAGAUUUCAAUAAGACAAAAAAUGAUA